CAACUACUCCCUCUGUUCCAAAUUUUUUGUCUUAGAUUUGUCUAGAUAUGGAUGUAUCUAAUACUAAAAUGUGACUUGAUACAUCUGUAUCUAGACAAAUCUAAGACAAGAAUUUUGGGAUGGGGGGAGUACUUU
Non-coding RNA from Triticum aestivum (bread wheat), 135 nucleotides. Lineage: Eukaryota; Viridiplantae; Streptophyta; Magnoliopsida; Poales; Poaceae. The record is from Rfam.